ACGAUGACUCUCGGUAAUGGAUAUCUUAGCUCUCACAUCGAUGAAGAAUGUAGUGAAAUGCGAUACCUGGUGUGAAUUGCAGAAUCCCGUGAACCAUCAAGUCUUUGAAUGCAAGUUGUGCCCGAGGCCACCCGACCGAGGGCAUGCCUACCUGGGCGUCAUGC
This 164-nucleotide ribosomal RNA is filed under the name Pinanga tashiroi. RNAcentral describes it as "5.8S rRNA". It matches the Rfam family "5.8S ribosomal RNA". Rfam says of the family: 5.8S ribosomal RNA (5.8S rRNA) is a component of the large subunit of the eukaryotic ribosome. It is transcribed by RNA polymerase I as part of the 45S precursor that also contains 18S and 28S rRNA. Functionally, it is thought that 5.8S rRNA may be involved in ribosome translocation. Lineage: Eukaryota; Viridiplantae; Streptophyta; Magnoliopsida; Arecales; Arecaceae. The record is from RNAcentral.